GACGAACGCUGGCGGCGUGCCUAAUACAUGCAAGUAGAACGCACAGUUUAUACCGUAGCUUGCUACACCAUAGACUGUGAGUUGCGAACGGGUGAGUAACGCGUAGGUAACCUGCCUGGUAGCGGGGGAUAACUAUUGGAAACGAUAGCUAAUACCGCAUAAUAUUGAUUAUUGCAUGAUAAUUGAUUGAAAGAUGCUAUUGCAUCACUACCAGAUGGACCUGCGUUGUAUUAGCUAGUAGGUGAGGUGACGGCUCACCUAGGCGACGAUACAUAGCCGACCUGAGAGGGUGAUCGGCCACACUGGGACUGAGACACGGCCCAGACUCCUACGGGAGGCAGCAGUAGGGAAUCUUCGGCAAUGGACGAAAGUCUGACCGAGCAACGCCGCGUGAGUGAAGAAGGGUUUCGGAUCGUAAAGCUCUGUUGUAAGAGAAGAACGGGUGUGAGAGUGGAAAGUUCACACUGUGACGGUAUCUUACCAGAAAGGGACGGCUAACUACGUG
This 505-nucleotide ribosomal RNA is filed under the name uncultured bacterium. RNAcentral describes it as "partial 16S ribosomal RNA". It matches the Rfam family "Bacterial small subunit ribosomal RNA", at positions 28 to 507 of the family's 1533-position model. The record is from RNAcentral.